AGGGAGUAAGUCCUCCUGUAUUUCUAGUCUUCUUGGGUAUGGUAUACAAUUUUGAUGCCAUAGGGGGCGUUCCUGAGUUUCAUACUUUCAUACCGGUUCAAUACUUGCAUACCGGUAUGAAAGUAUUAAACCCAAAAAUCGACCAUUUACCCAACACUGGACACCCCAUUUUUGUGAAAGAAAGCAACUAGUGAGAAAGAAAGUAUGAGAGAGAAAACAAACGCAGUGUUAUUAUACCAACAUAAUAACAAAAAUCUGGACUUUUUAAUGAAAAACGCAAUGUUGAAAAAUUCAAUCUGUUUGUGAAGAAAAAAAAAUAUACGCACUAUGAAUUUGAUUUUUUUUUAAAAAAAAAGCUUGAUAUCAAAUCAUCGAAUGAGUACAACAAGAAUAUGCAGUUACUCCAGCUGCAACUGAAACACAAAAACCAGCUGCCACUUCAGCAACUGUAUAUCGAAGCUGCUGCGACUUCUGAUGAGUGUUGCCACAUCAACCACUUGGUUUGCUGCAAACCUUCGAACAGAAACACCAACAUCAACGUCCAGCGCCAGCAUCAACAUAUGAUGCAACUAGACAUAUUAACAACAAGCAGCACAACCAGUAACGUAUGCAUCAACUGAAAACACUUCAUGCCUAAAGGACAAACACAUAUCGUGGUGCACCAAGUGAAGCAACAAUUCAACAAGCUCAAAUAUAUUAAGCAUUGUUAAGCAUCUAGCACUAGUUAUGUACAAUCAAAUGCAGCACAAGAUAUAUGAAACAUUUUUCUGCCUCUACUACACUACCAACUGCUGUAAAUAUAAACUAGCAAGCCCUGGUGGAAAAAAUAUCCCGCCAAAUAUCCCGGCAUAUCCCGUAAUUGACCUAUUGGCGGGUCAUGUAUCCCGCCAAUAUCCCGCCACAAUUUAUU
Molecule: long non-coding RNA, 910 nt
Organism: Aphidius gifuensis
Lineage: Eukaryota; Metazoa; Arthropoda; Insecta; Hymenoptera; Braconidae
Exons: 4
Source: RefSeq, a predicted model, not a curated record